RNAcentral lists this ribosomal RNA (377 nucleotides) under uncultured bacterium. RNAcentral's name for it is "bacterial SSU rRNA". It matches the Rfam family "Bacterial small subunit ribosomal RNA", at positions 527 to 896 of the family's 1533-position model. The record is from RNAcentral.
AGAGACCUCGAGCGUUAUCCGGAAUCAUUGGGCGUAAAGCGUACCGAUCGGUGGUGUAACAAGUCAGAUGUGAAAUCUUCAGGCUCAACCUGGAGACUGUCAUUUGAAACUGUUACGCUUGAGGGGCAAAGAGGAAGCUGGAACGAACGGUGUAGUAGUGAAAUGCGUCGAUAUCGUUCGGAACACCAAUAGCGAAGGCAGGCUUCUGGGUGCCACCUGACACUGCUAGGACGAAAGCGUGGGGAGCGAAGGGGAUUAGAUACCCCCGUAGUCCACGCUGUAAACGAUGCACAUUAGGUGCUGGGGAGUAUCGACCCUCUUCAGUGCCAAAGCUAACGCGUUAAAUGUGCCGCCUGGGGAGUACGGCCGCAAGGCUA